RNAcentral lists this transfer RNA (85 nucleotides) under Sulfolobus sp. RNAcentral describes it as "tRNA-Leu". It matches the Rfam family "tRNA". From Rfam's summary of the family: Transfer RNA (tRNA) molecules are approximately 80 nucleotides in length. Their secondary structure includes four short double-helical elements and three loops (D, anti-codon, and T loops). Lineage: Archaea; Thermoproteati; Thermoproteota; Thermoprotei; Sulfolobales; Sulfolobaceae. The record is from RNAcentral. RNAcentral also lists the same sequence under 3 other names.
GCGGGGGUGCCCGAGCAUGGUCAAAGGGGACGGGCUUAGGCCCCGUUGGCGUAGGCCUGCGUGGGUUCAAGUCCCACCCCCCGCA